This 288-nucleotide long non-coding RNA is filed under the name Homo sapiens (human). RNAcentral describes it as "non-protein coding lnc-FBXW11-9:1". The record is from RNAcentral. Lineage: Eukaryota; Metazoa; Chordata; Mammalia; Primates; Hominidae.
AUGAGCAUGCUCGGGCUUCAGAAGAGGCCUGCCGCUAGUGUCCUCCGCUAUGGCAAGAAGAAGGUCUGGUUGGACCCCAAUGAGGCCAAUGAAAUCGCCAGUGCCAACUCCCGACAGCAGAUCCGGAAGCUGAUCAAAGAUGGGCUGAUUAUCUGUAAGCCUGUGACUGUCCAUUCCCAGGCUCAAUGCCGGAAAAACACCUUGGCCCACCGGAAGGGCAGGCACAUGGGCACGGGUAAGCGAAAGGGUACAGCCAAUGCCCCAAUGCCAGAGAAGGUCACGUGGUGA